UAGUCCACGCCGUAAACGAUGAGAACUAAGUGUUGGGGUUACCCAGUGCUGAAGUUAACGCAUUAAGUUCUCCGCCUGGGGAGUACGACCGCAAGGUUGAAACUCAAAGGAAUUGACGGGUCUCCGCACAAGCGGUGGAGCAUGUUGUUUAAUUCGAAGAUACGCGAAGAACCUUACCAGGUCUUGACAUCUUCUUGAUCGCUCUAGAGAUAGAGUUUCCCUUCGGGGCAAGAAUGACAGGUGGUGCAUGGUUGUCGUCAGCUCGUGUCGUGAGAUGUUGGGUUAAGUCCCGCAACGAGCGCAACCCCUAUUAAUAGUUGCUAACAUUAAGUUGAGGACUCUAUUGAGACUGCCAGUGAUAAACUGGAGGAAGGUGGGGAUGACGUCAAAUCAUCAUGCCCCUUAUGACCUGGGCUACAAACGUGCUACAAUGGAUGGUACAAAGAGUUGCCAACCCGCGAGGGGGAGCGUAACCUUUUAAAACCAUUCUCAGUUCGGAUAGAAGUCUGCAACUCGUA
RNAcentral lists this ribosomal RNA (518 nucleotides) under uncultured bacterium. RNAcentral describes it as "bacterial SSU rRNA". It matches the Rfam family "Bacterial small subunit ribosomal RNA", at positions 791 to 1316 of the family's 1533-position model. The record is from RNAcentral.